Molecule: transfer RNA, 66 nt
Filed under: Heterosmylus sp. YW-2016
Lineage: Eukaryota; Metazoa; Arthropoda; Insecta; Neuroptera; Osmylidae
Description: tRNA-Asp
Source: RNAcentral
AGAAAAUUAGUUAAAUUAUAACAUAAAUAUGUCAAGUUUAAAUUACUAAUCUUUUAGUAUUUUCUG